AACGAACGCUGGCGGCAUGCUUAACACAUGCAAGUCGAACGAGACCUUCGGGUUUAGUGGCGCACGGGUGCGUAACACGUGGGAACCUGCCCUUAGGUUCGGAAUAACUCCCCGAAAGGUGUGCUAAUACCGGAUAAUGUCUUUGGGCCAAAGACUUACUGCCUUGGGAUGGGCCCGCGUGGGAUUAGCUAGUUGGUAGGGUAAUAGCCUACCAAGGCGACGAUCCAUAGCUGGUCUGAGAGGAUGAUCAGCCACACUGGGACUGAGACACGGCCCAGACUCCGACGGGGGGCAGGAGAGGGGAAUAGUGGACAAGGGGCGAAAGCCUGAUCAAGCAGUGCCGCGUGAGAGAUGAAGGCCGUAGGGUUGUAAAGCUGUCUUACCCGGGAUGAGAAUGACAGUACCGGGAGAAUAAGCACCGGCUAACUCCGUG
This 433-nucleotide ribosomal RNA is filed under the name uncultured bacterium. RNAcentral describes it as "partial 16S ribosomal RNA". It matches the Rfam family "Bacterial small subunit ribosomal RNA", at positions 29 to 507 of the family's 1533-position model. The record is from RNAcentral.